This 501-nucleotide ribosomal RNA is filed under the name uncultured bacterium. RNAcentral describes it as "partial 16S ribosomal RNA". It matches the Rfam family "Bacterial small subunit ribosomal RNA", at positions 30 to 523 of the family's 1533-position model. The record is from RNAcentral.
AUUGAACGCUGGCGGCAGGCUUAACACAUGCAAGUCGAGCGGGGGAAGGUAGCUUGCUACUGGACCUAGCGGCGGACGGGUGAGUAAUGCUUAGGAAUCUGCCUAUUAGUGGGGGACAACAUCUCGAAAGGGAUGCUAAUACCGCAUACGUCCUACGGGAGAAAGCAGGGGAUCUUCGGACCUUGCGCUAAUAGAUGAGCCUAAGUCGGAUUAGCUAGUUGGUGGGGUAAAGGCCUACCAAGGUGACGAUCUGUAGCGGGUCUGAGAGGAUGAUCCGCCACACUGGGACUGAGACACGGCCCAGACUCCUACGGGAGGCUGCAGUGGGGAAUAUUGGACAAUGGGGGGAACCCUGAUCCAGCCAUGCCGCGUGUGUGAAGAAGGCCUUAUGGUUGUAAAGCACUUUAAGCGAGGAGGAGGCUACUUUAGUUAGUACCUAGAGAUAGUGGACGUUACUCGCAGAAUAAGCACCGGCUAACUCUGUGCCAGCCGCCGCCGUAA